GCCUGGGUGGCUUAGUCAGUUAAGUGUCUGACUUCAGGUCAGGUCAUGAUCUCAUGGCUCGUGAGUUCGAGCCCCGCAUCGGGCU
Molecule: non-coding RNA, 85 nt
Organism: Felis catus (domestic cat)
Lineage: Eukaryota; Metazoa; Chordata; Mammalia; Carnivora; Felidae
Source: Rfam